GCUGGAUUAGUUUAGUGGCAGAACCCCGGCUUUGUAACCCGGAUACGCGCGUCCGAUUCGUGCAUCCAGCGCCA
This 74-nucleotide transfer RNA is filed under the name Muribaculaceae bacterium. RNAcentral describes it as "tRNA-Thr". It matches the Rfam family "tRNA". Rfam says of the family: Transfer RNA (tRNA) molecules are approximately 80 nucleotides in length. Lineage: Bacteria; Pseudomonadati; Bacteroidota; Bacteroidia; Bacteroidales; Muribaculaceae. The record is from RNAcentral.